GACGAACCGUGCGAACGUUGUUCGGAAUCACUGGGCUUAAAGGGCGCGUAGGCGGCCACUCAAGUCCGGGGUGAAAGCCCCCGGCUCAACCGGGGAAGUGCCUUGGAGACUGGGUUGCUCGAGGGAGGUAGGGGUCGAGGGAACUUCUGGUGGAGCGGUGAAAUGCGUUGAUAUCAGAAGGAACGCCGGUGGCGAAAGCGCUCGACUGGACCUUUUCUGACGCUGAGGCGCGAAAGCUAGGGGAGCAAACGGG
RNAcentral lists this ribosomal RNA (253 nucleotides) under uncultured bacterium. Its description in RNAcentral is "partial 16S ribosomal RNA". It matches the Rfam family "Bacterial small subunit ribosomal RNA", at positions 524 to 776 of the family's 1533-position model. The record is from RNAcentral.